Molecule: ribosomal RNA, 254 nt
Filed under: uncultured bacterium
Lineage: Bacteria
Description: partial 16S ribosomal RNA
Rfam family: Bacterial small subunit ribosomal RNA
Source: RNAcentral
UACGGGGGGAGCAAGCGUUGUUCGGAUUUACUGGGCGUAAAGGGCGCGUAGGCGGCCACCGCAAGUCGACUGUGAAAUCUCCGGGCUUAACCCGGAAAGGUCAGCCGAUACUGCGGGGCUAGAGUGCAGAAGGGGCAAUUGGAAUUCUCGGUGUAGCGGUGAAAUGCGUAGAUAUCGAGAGGAACACCUGCGGCGAAGGCGGGUUGCUGGGCUGACACUGACGCUGAUGCGCGAAAGCUAGGGGAGCGAACGGG